GGAGUUAGCCGGUGCUUCUUCUGCGAGUAACGUCACAGAUGUAAGGUAUUAACUUACACCCUUUCCUCCUCGCUGAAAGUGCUUUACAACCCGAAGGCCUUCUUCACACACGCGGCAUGGCUGCAUCAGGGUUUCCCCCAUUGUGCAAUAUUCCCCACUGCUGCCUCCCGUAGGAGUCUGGGCCGUGUCUCAGUCCCAGUGUGGCUGAUCAUCCUCUCAGACCAGCUAGGGAUCGUCGCCUAGGUGAGCCUUUACCUCACCUACUAGCUAAUCCCACCUGGGCUUAUCCAUCAGCGCAAGGCCCGAAGGUCCCCUGCUUUCCCCCGUAGGGCCGUAUGCGGUAUUAGCAGUCGUUUCCAACUGUUAUCCCCCACAAAUGGGCAAAUUCCCAGGCAUUACUCACCCGUCCGCCGCUCGUCAUCUUCAAAGCAAGCUUUUGAAUGUUACCGCUCGACUUGCAUGUGUUAGGCCUGCCGCCAGCGUUCAAUCUGAGCCAGAAUCGAACCCUGA
RNAcentral lists this ribosomal RNA (510 nucleotides) under uncultured bacterium. RNAcentral describes it as "partial 16S ribosomal RNA". The record is from RNAcentral.